GGUCAAGUGACUAAGUGCAUACGGUGGAUGCCUUGGCAGUAAGAGGCGAUGAAGGACGUUAUAGCAUGCGAUAAGCCCCGGGGAGCCUGCAAAUUGGCAUUGAUCCGAGGAUUUCCGAAUGGGGAAACCCACCUGAUUUAUCAGGUAUUCCUAACUGAAUACAUAGGUUAGGAAGGCGAACGUGGUGAACUGAAACAUCUAAGUAACCAUAGGAAAAGAAAUCAACCGAGAUUCCCUGAGUAGCGGCGAGCGAACGGGGAACAGCCCUUAAGGUGUUUUUGUUUUAGUGGAACGGUCUGGAAAGUCCGGCGACACAGGGUGAUAGCCCCGUACACGAAAAAGCAAUGACAUUGAAAACGAGUAGGUCGGGACACGAGUUAUCUUGACUGAACAUGGGGGGACCAUCCUCCAAGGCUAAAUACUACUUACUGACCGAUAGUGAACCAGUACCGUGAGGGAAAGGCGAAAAGAACCCCUGUGAGGGGAGUGAAAUAGAUCCUGAAACCGUAUGCAUACAAGCAGUAGGAGCAGACUUGUUCUGUGACUGCGUACCUUUUGUAUAAUGGGUCAGCGACUUACAUUCAGUAGCAAGCUUAACCGAAUAGGGGAGGCGUAGGGAAACCGAGUCUUAAUAGGGCGACCAGUUGCUGGGUGUAGACCCGAAACCGAGCGAUCUAUCCAUGGCCAGGUUGAAGGUGGGGUAAAACCUACUGGAGGACCGAACCCACUUAUGUUGAAAAAUGAGGGGAUGAGCUGUGGAUCGGAGUGAAAGGCUAAUCAAGCUCGGAGAUAGCUGGUUCUCCUCGAAAGCUAUUUAGGUAGCGCCUCGUGUCUCACUCCAGGGGGUAGAGCACUGUUUUCGCAAUGGGGGCGUCAAGCUCUACUGACCGAAUGCAAACUCCGAAUACCUGGAAGUGCAAUCACGGGAGACACACAGCGGGUGCUAACGUCCGUUGUGGAGAGGGAAACAACCCAGACCGCCAGCUAAGGUCCCAAAAUCACAGUUUAGUGGGAAACGAUGUGGGAAGGCACAGACAGCCAGGAGGUUGGCUUAGAAGCAGCCAUCCUUUAAAGAAAGCGUAAUAGCUCACUGGUCGAGUCGGCCUGCGCGGAAGAUAUAACGGGGCUCAAACUGUGUACCGAAGCUGCGGAUGCGAUUAUUUAUUCGUAAAUAGUGGCAUGGUAGAGGAGCGUUCUGUAAGCCGUUGAAGGUGUUCUGAAAGGGAUGCUGGAGGUAUCAGAAGUGCGAAUGCUGACAUGAGUAACGAUAAUGCGAGUGAAAAACUCGCACGCCGAAAGCCCAAGGUUUCCUUCGCAACGCUAAUCGGCGAAGGGUGAGUCGGCCCCUAAGGCGAGGCAGAAAUGCGUAGUCGAUGGGAAACAGGUUAAUAUUCCUGUACCGCUUUAUACUGCGAUGGGGGGACGGAGAAGGCUAGAUCAUCCUGGUGAUUGGUUAUCCAGGUACAAGCAUGUAGGGAGAGGUCUUAGGAAAAUCCGGGACCUUAAUUCUGAGAUGUGAUGUCGAGCGACUACGGUCGUGAAGUGAUUGAUGCCAUGCUUCCAAGAAAAGCCUCUAAGCUUCAGGUAUAAAGUGACCGUACCCCAAACCAACACAGGUGGGCAGGGUGAGAAUCCUAAGGCGCUUGAGAGAACUCGGGUGAAGGAACUAGGCAAAAUGGUACCGUAACUUCGGGAGAAGGUACACCUGAGCUGGUGAUCGGACUUGCUCCGUAAGCUGGCUUGGGUAGCAUUAAAAUGGUGGCUGCAACUGUUUAUUAAAAACAUAGCACUCUGCAAACUCGAAAGAGGACGUAUAGGGUGUGACGCCUGCCCGGUGCCGGAAGGUUAAUUGAUGGGGUUAGACUUAGGUCGAAGCUCUUGAUCGAAGCCCCGGUAAACGGCGGCCGUAACUAUAACGGUCCUAAGGUAGCGAAAUUCCUUGUCGGGUAAGUUCCGACCUGCACGAAUGGCGUAAUGAUGGCCACACUGUCUCCACCCGAGACUCAGUGAAAUUGAAAUCGCUGUUAAGAUGCAGCGUCCCCGCGGCUAGACGGAAAGACCCCGUGAACCUUUACUAUAGCUUUGCACUGGACUUUGAAUAUGUUUGUGUAGGAUAGGUGGGAGGCAUUGAAACCAUGACGCUAGUUGUGGUGGAGCCAACCUUGAAAUACCACCCUGACAUGUUUGAGGUUCUAACCUCGGUCCAUUAUCUGGAUUAGGGACAGUGUAUGGUGGGUAGUUUGACUGGGGCGGUCUCCUCCCAAAGAGUAACGGAGGAGCACUAAGGUACCCUCAGCACGGUCGGAAAUCGUGCAAUGAGUGCAAAGGCAUAAGGGUGCUUGACUGCGAGACAGACACGUCGAGCAGGUACGAAAGUAGGUCUUAGUGAUCCGGUGGUUCUGUAUGGAAGGGCCAUCGCUCAACGGAUAAAAGGUACUCCGGGGAUAACAGGCUGAU
RNAcentral lists this ribosomal RNA (2457 nucleotides) under hydrothermal vent metagenome. RNAcentral describes it as "bacterial LSU rRNA". It matches the Rfam family "Bacterial large subunit ribosomal RNA", at positions 1 to 2486 of the family's 2925-position model. The record is from RNAcentral.